UGCAGUCGAGCGGUAGCACAGAGAGCUUGCUCUCGGGUGACGAGCGGCGGACGGGUGAGUAAUGUCUGGGAAACUGCCUGAUGGAGGGGGAUAACUACUGGAAACGGUAGCUAAUACCGCAUAACGUCGCAAGACCAAAGAGGGGGACCUUCGGGCCUCUUGCCAUCAGAUGUGCCCAGAUGGGAUUAGCUAGUAGGUGGGGUAACGGCUCACCUAGGCGACGAUCCCUAGCUGGUCUGAGAGGAUGACCAGCCACACUGGAACUGAGACACGGUCCAGACUCCUACGGGAGGCAGCAGUGGGGAAUAUUGCACAAUGGGCGCAAGCCUGAUGCAGCCAUGCCGCGUGUAUGAAGAAGGCCUUCGGGUUGUAAAGUACUUUCAGCGAGGAGGAAGGCAUUGUGGUUAAUAACCACAGUGAUUGACGUUACUCGCAGAAGAAGCACCGGCUAACUCCGUGCCAGCAGCCGCGGUAAUACGGAGGGUGCAAGCGUUAAUCGGAAUUACUGGGCGUAAAGCGCACGCAGGCGGUCUGUCAAGUCGGAUGUGAAAUCCCCGGGCUCAACCUGGGAACUGCAUUCGAAACUGGCAGGCUAGAGUCUUGUAGAGGGGGGUAGAAUUC
RNAcentral lists this ribosomal RNA (621 nucleotides) under Lelliottia sp. RNAcentral's name for it is "bacterial SSU rRNA". It matches the Rfam family "Bacterial small subunit ribosomal RNA", at positions 56 to 669 of the family's 1533-position model. Lineage: Bacteria; Pseudomonadati; Pseudomonadota; Gammaproteobacteria; Enterobacterales; Enterobacteriaceae. The record is from RNAcentral.